RNAcentral lists this ribosomal RNA (406 nucleotides) under uncultured bacterium. Its description in RNAcentral is "partial 16S ribosomal RNA". It matches the Rfam family "Bacterial small subunit ribosomal RNA", at positions 30 to 526 of the family's 1533-position model. The record is from RNAcentral.
AUUGAACGCUGGCGGCAGGCCUAACACAUGCAAGUCGAACGAGUGGCGGACGGGUGAGUAAUGUCUGGGAAACUGCCCGAUGGAGGGGGAUAACUACUGGAAACGGUGGCUAAUACCGCAUACGAUCGGAUGGGCCCAGAUGGGAUUAGCUAGUAGGUGGGGUAACGGCUCACCUAGGCGACGAUCCCUAGCUGGUCUGAGAGGAUGACCAGCCACACUGGGACUGAGACACGGCCCAGACUCCUACGGGAGGCAGCAGUGGGGAAUAUUGCACAAUGGGCGAAAGCCUGAUGCAGCCAUGCCGCGUGUAUGAAGAAGGCCUUCGGGUUGUAAAGUACUUUCAUCGGGGAGGCGUUACCCGAAGAAGAAGCAACGGCUAACUCCGUGCCAGCAGCCGCGGUAAUAC